GGCCCUGCGGUGCAAGAGCACGCCGGAUUGCAAACCCGGAGGCGUUGGUUAAUACCGGCCGGGGCUU
Molecule: transfer RNA, 67 nt
Filed under: Uranoscopus japonicus
Lineage: Eukaryota; Metazoa; Chordata; Actinopteri; Uranoscopiformes; Uranoscopidae
Description: tRNA-Cys
Rfam family: tRNA
About the family: Transfer RNA (tRNA) molecules are approximately 80 nucleotides in length.
Source: RNAcentral